GAAGAAUUUUAAUAUGUUGAAACUAAGAACGCAUUGGUUAGAAUCAAUAAUUUAUGUAUGUAUCAAAUCAAUUCAUUCCCAUGUUAGUUUCUAAACCAGUAUAUUUUUAAAACAACAAAAUUUCUAGUUGAAUGAAAAUAUGGUAGUAGAUUUUCGCUUCAACAAUUUACAAUUAUUAUUUCUAUAAUUGUGAUUUUUAGAAUCUACAAUAUUUUUUAUUUAUGGUCGCCAUCAUGUAUUUGUGAGAAAAAGUGACGCGAACGAAAUGAAUAGAGCUGAAAGUAUAUCCGGUGAAAAACGAUAAGAAUUCAUUAAAUUGCUGCAAAUUUUUGAUUUAUCAGACGCCAAUAUGUGCCGAAGAAAUGGAAAUUAUACUUUUAGCGGCGGGAGGAAAACUAUCGCACAAGAAAAGCAAAAGAAUGUGCCGUCCGGGUUAUUCAGCAACGACAACGGCUGGUGAAAUUUGAUGUGAGCUGCUCACAACCUAUGGAACCAUCCAGAGAUGAACUUUGUUCUAGAACAUCACAAUCAUUCAUUCUGAUUAGAUAAACAUGAUUAUAUAAUAAACGAGCAAGCAUCAAUAAAAA
Molecule: long non-coding RNA, 587 nt
Filed under: Aedes aegypti (yellow fever mosquito)
Lineage: Eukaryota; Metazoa; Arthropoda; Insecta; Diptera; Culicidae
Description: lncRNA AAEL025783
Source: RNAcentral